UUCUUAAAGAUAUUUAUUUUAAGUAAUCCCUGCUCAAUGAAUUUUAAAUAGCCGCAGUUAAUACUGUGCUAAGGUAGCAUAAUAAUUAGCCUUAUAAUUGAAGGAUAGAAUAAAUGGGAAUACGUAUAAAAAUCUGUCUCUCUUAUUUUAUUUAAAAUUUACUUUAAAGUAAAAAGGCUUUAAUUUUAAAAUUAGACGACAAGACCCUAUCGAACUUUACUUUAGUUAACUUGGAUAGUAAAAUAAUAAAAACUUAUUUUUAUAAAUUAUUAAAAUGACCUUAAUUUUUAAAAUAUUUGAACAAGUUACCGUAGGGAUAACAGCAUAAUUUUAUUUUAAAGCUCUUAUUAAAAAUAAAUAUUAUGACCUCGAUGUUGAAUAAUAACCUAUAAUUAGAAAAAUAAUUAAAAGGAAGACUGUUCGUCUUUUAAUAAAUUACA
RNAcentral lists this ribosomal RNA (440 nucleotides) under Prithinae sp. Costa Rica MR11. RNAcentral describes it as "partial 16S ribosomal RNA". The record is from RNAcentral. Lineage: Eukaryota; Metazoa; Arthropoda; Arachnida; Araneae; Filistatidae.